UUGGCCCACCUCCUUGAGCGCACUAAGUACGUGCAAGUUUUGAAUGAAGAUUCAAGAUCAAAGUUGUCAAAGGCAAAGGACGUAUAUCCCUAGAAGAACAAAAAGAAAAGACAGCUUCAAAGAAAGAAGAAGCAAGAACCCCCACAAAGAAAAAAAAAGGUAACUAUGAUAAAGGUGGGGAAUCAUCAUCCCCCAAAGAGAAAGAAAAAAGAAGGAAAAUAUAUCGAAAAGGGGAAAAACUCCAACACAAGAUUCAAAAUAAAUUGAAACAAAUACAAAACAAGGGGCAAAGAAGCACAAUAAAUAAGAUUGCGCAUCAAAGAGCAACAAAUGUCAAAAGCACGGAUACAGUGCAAUGCUCAUUGAGGAAUUAGUCACUUUUAUCCCAAAUGUCAUCCUACCCAACCCCAAGCCUACAUUACAAGCCAAUAACAAGUCCUACAAGAUCCUACUCUAAGUUUUCUCACAUUAGUGGAUACUUACAUGAAGGCCAAGCCUAUGAUAUCACAAUUACAUUCAUUGAAUUUAUUUCUGAGUGUGAGCGUAUAUCUCUAGACAUAUCCAAAUUCAAGAAAAAAAUAAUCUCAAAUAGGUGUGAGAACGAGACAUUCUUUCUAGAGAGGGCACUUGAAACAUGGGAACAGGCACAGUUCAAAAUCUUUUUUUGAAGCAAGACGAACAAAUCUUGACGAUACUUAGGUAUGUCUGAGGUACCACUCGAAGCUAUAGGAGUUACCCUGAAGUCGAUCUCGAUUAGAUGGAAAAGAGAUAGCGGGAUUCUUGUAUACACUACUAAUUGUUGGUACCAACUGUAGUCAAGACACAAUUAUAUCUUUUCAUUGUUCAACAUUUCUUACAAAGAAAAUACAAAACAAUCUUCUACAUUUUCAUUGUUCAAUAUUUCUUACAAAGAAAACACAAUGUUUUGUAUUUUUACCUUUCAGCAUUUCUUGCAAAUAAAACACAAAGAAAUUUUUUGCAUUUUUCAUCUUUCAACACAUUUUUACAAUGAAAACACAAAAAAAUAGUUUUAUUUCCUUUCAAACAUAUGCCUUCACAUACAUGCAUUACACUUUACAUGCAAGAUGGUCACCUCCAAAUACAGGCAAUUGAUUCUUCUUUUCGAGUUCUCACAUUCAAACAUAGUUAUUAUGCUUUUCUAUCAGGUGUUCUUAGAGCUCUUAAAUUUUCAUAGCCCAGCCAGUCGAGAGGCUGCUACCUUUUCAUAGCCCCGCCAUUUGAGAGGCUAUUACCUUUCAAAGCCCCGCCAAUCAAGAGACUUUUACAUUUUUAUAGCCCCGCCGGUCGAGAGGCUAUUACCUUUCAAAGCCCCAUCAAUCAAGAGACUUUUACAUUUUUAUAACCCCGCCAGUCGAGAGGCUUUUACAUUUUUAUAGCCCCACCAAUCGAGAGGCUAUUACCUUUCAAAGCCCCACCAGUCGAGAGGCUUUUACAUUUCCAUAGUCCCGGCUUUCGAGAGGCUAUUACCUUUCAAAGCCUCAAUAGUCGAGAGGCUUUUACAUUUCCAUAGCCCUGUCAGUCGAGUGGUUGUUACCUUUUGAAUCCCCACCAGUCGAGAGGUUUUUACAUUAUCAUAGCCCCAUCAGUCGAGUGGCUAUCACCUUUCAACAUCUCCGCCAGUCAAGAGGCUUUUUACAUUCUCAUAGCCCCGCCAGUCGAGAGGAUAUUACUUUUCAAAUCGCUCCGCCAGUUGAGAGCUCUUUUAUUUUCAUAGCCCCGCCAGUUAAGAGACUAUUACCUUCUAGUUUUUCCACCAAUCGAGAGUCAAUUAGCUCAUCGGUUGAUGACCUUAGUCUCCAUAGACAAUUGAGGACGACCAUCACAUAGUCUUCGUAGACAAUUGGAGACCACAAUCAACAUCACUCUACAUAGACAAUUGGAGAUGUCAUCAAGUCUUCGUAUACAAUCGAAGACAUCGUCAAUCACAUCAGUCUCUGUAGAUAAUUUGAGAUGACAAUCUACACCAGCCUCCAUAGAUAAUUAGAAAUAUCAUCAAGUCUUCGUAGACAAUUGAAGACACCAUCAUCCAACAUCAGUUUUCGUAGACAAUCGAAGACGUAAAUCAACAUCCAUCUCCAUAGGUAAUUGGAGGCACCAUGCAUCAAGUCUUUGUAGAUAAUUGAAGACAUCAUCAUUCAUCACAGUCUCCGUAAAUAAUUGUAGACGACAAUCAACAUCCAUCUCCAUAGACAAUUGGAGACGUCAUGCAUCAAGUCUUCGUAGACAAUCGAAGACAUCAUUAUCACAGUCUCUGUAAAUAAUCGAAGACAACAAUCAAAACCAGCCUCCAUAGACAAUUGGAGGUGUCAUACAUCAAGUCUUCGUAUACAAUCGAAGACAUCAUCAUUCAACAUCGGUCUUCAUAGAUAAUUGGAGAUGUCAUGCAUUAAGUCUUUGUAGAUAAUUGAAGACAUCUUUCAUCCAUCAAUAUCAGUCUUCGCAGACAAUCGAAGACACUUGUCAUUCAUCCUCAAGUCCCCAUGGACAAUCAGAGACAUCAUACAUCUUUUCAACAAAAGGUACAAUUCAGAACAACAACACUUUUUUUCAAAUCCCAUAUAUCAGACACUGGGGCAAAUUUCGAGAACCAUCUCAAAAUUUCCCCAUUUCCUUAUUUUGAACUACAUUGACCUGAUUCUCAUGAUACUUAAGAUAUGUAGGAGGCUCUAUGCAGAGUUUGGUCAUCACAACCUCACAAUUAUUCUUUCUCCCCAGCAAGUACACAAUCUUGCAUCCCCAGAAUCUCAUAGCUCGAUGCUGGGGCAAUUUUGAAAAGAACAUCGAAAAUAGAUGAACACUUCUGUUCCUAAAUAGUCCAUAUUUUAUUAAUUACUUCACACGGUCUCUCACUCUUAAUAGCAUGGCAAUUUUCCCAAUAUUUGAACUACACCCGACUUGAUUCUUAUGUAACUCGAGGUAUAUAGGCAAUUCUAAAUUAGAAUUCGGUCGAAUCCUCAUUAAAAGAUAAUUUUUUAUCGAGCAAAAUUGGCUGCACGUCAAUGUUUUCAUUUGAAAACUUAUACUGUCACACCCAUUUUUUAACACCAAAAAGAAAGAUUGAUUUAAAGUUAGAAAGGGUUUUUAUUUAAAGUGACAAAAUGAAGAUUUGUUCCGAAAAGGACUUUUUAUAUUCAAAACUCAGAGUCGCCACUUGGCAUAAUCUGGUGUGCCAAGUCACCUUUGGAAAAUCCUUUUCAGAACUGUUUUAACUCUUUAAAACUGGUUUGCAAACAAAGAUUCUGACUAAGGAAUUCUAUUGACCAAGGGGAAGGUGUUAGGCACCCCUCGAUCCCGUGGUUCAACCACGGUCGCUUGGUGGAGCGGAUCAGCUAAUUUAAUACUAUGAGUGUACAAACCACAUAAAACAAAUAAUAAACAAAUCAAACAAAAUGCAUCCAAAAAAAAAUAUAAAGUGCAGUCCAAUUAUACAAUCCAAAAAUAGAAAAAUGCGUAAAAAUAAAUCCUAUUCUAAACUAAUCCUAGACUAAUGCUCUACCCGACGCCUCGGGCCUUCAUCACGAACCUCCUCCUAGUACAAAAUACUUUAGGGCAUUUUUCGAUGAAUAAACACAAAUAUCUCGGGGCAUUCCCCAUCCAAAUGAUACUUUGAUCCAAAAAAAACUAUAAAAAUAAGCCAUUCAACACACAUUUUUCAACAUUCAACAUUUGAUGAGUUCUAAAUUUGCCUACCCGACCCUACUAUUUGCCUAUCUAUUUGAUGUCCUAAUCAUGAUACUACCGCAUUCGAGAAGGUUAAUAAACAUUUCAAAUCAACUCAAUCGAUGAAACAAAAUUAAUUCGAGUUCACUUAAUCAAGAUCAAUCCCUCCUUAAUUUAUUAUCGAUUACACAAUUACUCGAUUCUCAAUCAUAUAAUUAUUCACCUCAAAUAAUAAAUCGAUAUCAACAAACACUUAUGAUGAUUCAAACAGAUCAUUAUCAAACAAAACAAGGCUUACACCCAUCACCAAUUUCACACAUAAGGCAUCAAACGAUAAAGAUUAAUCAAGAACGAGAUAAGAAAUGGACCUCAAUUUUAUUCCGAACAAUUAGCGAUGGAUUGGAGCACACGAAUCAAUGAACCUCGACCAAAAUUUAACCUCGACGUCGAAACCCAAUUCAUAAAUCUCGACUCCGAAUUCUUUUUACCCAGACCCAUUUUCUCUCUGUAUUUUUAUGUAGGUCGUGAGAAGAGGAGCUGGACGAACUGCCAUGUGCUUGUUGGUUCACCAGCGAUUCGAGCUGAUUGGAGUGGUGUUUAACGUGAUUUAACUGGCGUAUUUUGCUGGUAGUGAUGGAUUUUUAGGGUUCCGUGAGGUUUUGGUCAUCGAAUUUCCUGCCAGUGGAGUUCUUUGAUAACUAUUAUUGCAUUGCCAGAGCUCCGACGAGCUUAACGGUGGUGACUAAUUUCCCCUUUCUCUAAUCUAUUCUCUCUGUCACGUUCUUUUUGCCUCUCCUCUCUUUGUUGUCAUCUUCUCCUUCUCUAAUCUAUUCUCUCUUUCGCGUCUCUACGUGUUAAUGUCACUGGUGAGUGUUAUCUGAGAGAUCUGUGUAUGCUUUAUGUGUGAAUAUGGUGAUGUGUGCUCUAUAUAUGAAUAUGGUGAUGAAAAGCCUAUGUGUUGGUAUAUCUUGUGAAGGGGAAUAUUGAUGAUGAUGAUGAGGAAUUGUUCCCUUUCUUUCUGUGUGUAUUUUCUAUGGUGGGAAUAUAAUGAUAAUAAUGAUGUGGGUCCCCUCAUGUGAAUGUUGUCUUGUAUAUUAAUGGAAAUGGUGAGGUCCUUUGUUUGUCUUUUUUGUUAAUUUGUUUACAAAGUGGAAUAAAAUAUGAAGGGUAGGGUAGUGAGGUGGUAUGGGGUAGUGAUGUGUUGUGAUGAAGUUUUAGGAUAAGGAAAUAUUAGGGAUUUAUUAAAAUUUUAUUAUUUUUGUAUUUUUGUGGGGCAUAAUCACACGGGUGGGGUGUAAGGUACCGUGAGGUUAAAAAAAUGGAUGAAUUAGGUUAUCGGGAGGGACAAAAUUACGUGUCUACAUCAUGCCUCUCUUUGCAUGUAAAUACAAAGUAUUUUCAUACAAAGAAGUAGACAAUGAGACAGAAUUUGACCCGACCAUUAUUCAAAGAAAGAAACAAAAGGAAGAAGGACAACCGAGUUGGAGAGUCGAGUGAGGUCCCGUCGAGGUUCCAGUCCGUGGCUCUAUCACUACAUCAAAAAUGAAAAUUAUAAGUUAAAACUUAAAAGAAAUUACAGAAAUCCUAUCUAUGCAGUUUCUUUGACUCUUGACUUGCUAUUUUAUCAUCCUGUUCUUCAGGCGGGCUCCUGACUUGCAAUUUCUUCAAUUUGUUGCUUGGUUUUCAAUUUCUUCCUCAUGUUGCUUGACUUUUCAGUUAUUCACCCUGUUCUUCAGGCAGACUCUUAACUUACAAUUUCAUCACCCUAUUCUUCAGGCAGGCUCCUGGCUUGCCGUUUCAUCACCCCGUUCUUCAGGCGGGCUCCUGACUAGCUAUUUCCAUAUGUUGUCUUUCAAUUUCUUCACUUUGUUUCUUGACUUUCAUUUUAUUCACCACGUUCAUCAGGAGGGCUCCUGAAAUCACAUCAAAACUAAAAAGAAAAUUAUCCCAAACAAAGAUUAUUAUAAAGAGAUUUCACUUGCCAGAAAAGUGAAGUUCCAAACACAAGAAUUAAAUUUUGCCCUAGUUUAUCAUCAAAGGACUUUUGUGAAAGUCGCAUCAUUAUAGUUAUCAAAGAUAAUGACUAGACUAAAAGGUACGCCUUAUAGAAAUCAAGGAGAAUGACUCGACUAAAAGGCACGCUUUAUAGGAAUCAAGGGAGAUGACUCGACUAAAGGGUACGUCUUAUAGGAAUCAAGGGGGAUGACUCAAAUAAAAGGCACGUCUUAUAGGAAUCAAGGGAGAUGACUCGAAUAAAGGGUACGUCUUAUAGGAAUCAAGGGGGAUGACUCGACUAAAAGGUACUUCUUAUAGGAAUCAAGGGGAAUGACUCGACUAAAAGGUACGUCUUAUAGGAAUCAAGGGGAAUGACUCAAUUAAAAGGUAUGUCUUAUAGGAAUCAAGGGGGAUGACUCGACUAAAAGGUACAUUUUAUAGGAAUCAAGGGGAAUGACUCGACUAAAAGGUACAUCUUAUAGGAAUCAAGGGAGAUGAUUCGACUAAAAAGUACGUAUUCGAGGGUUCAAGGGGAAUGACUCAACUAAAAGGUACAUCUUCUAAGGGUCGAGGGGAGAUGACUCGACUAAAAGGUACGUCUUCUAGGGGUCAAGGGGAGAUGACUCGACUAAAAGGUACAUCUUAUAGGAAUCAAGGGGAUGACUCGACUAAAAGGUACGUCUUAUAGGGGUCAAGAGGAAUGACUCGACUAAAAGGUACGUCUUCUAGGAAUCAAGGGGGAUGACUUGACUAAAAGGUACAUCUUCUAGGAAUCAAAGGGAAUGACUCGACUAAAAGGUACGUCUUAUAGGAAUCAAGGGGGAUGACUCGACUAAAAGGUACGUCUUCUAAGAGUCAAAGGAAAUGACUGGACUAGAAGGUACGUCUUCUAGGAGUGAAGGUUCAAUUUAAGAAGUGUAUCACCCAGCAAAUUAAAACUAAAAUCCCUGGACAAGAAAGUGUGUUUCCGAGGGAUAUAAGAUGAUGAAUUUUUACCAUGAUUUAAUUAUCAAACCUGUGCAGCAACAUUGCUUCCUACAUUUGUCAAAGCAAGAAAUUAGGGGCCUUGAUGUUUUGGCUUUGAAAUCCUUGAUUUGAAGGUGACAUGUGUUCCUGUUUUAUGCAAAGAAAAGUUGUGAGUUUAAAAACAUGAAGGCAGGUUUGUGGCUUUGGCUUUCAUGGCAAACGCUCUUGCCGUCAUCACAUUUAACCUUGCUUCCAACCAUUACAUAUAUCAUUGAUUUGAUGCAUCAUUGACCCAAACUCAGAUUAUUAAGAGUGACUUUGAAACAAACGCAGUAUCUUUGCUUUUCCAUGCUCUUCAGAUAAACCCUUUGAACUUUGGUAUUUCCAUGAGUGCCCAGACUUUUCUGUUGACAGAACUUUCUGUAUGCCUUAUUUCGGCUCACAAUCAUGUCUUUUGUAUAUGCUAGUUCUUUUGUCUUGCUUUGUGCAAUUAAAGAAGCUGGUAGCCAUUUUUGAAAUCUUUUCUCACUUGUUUUGACAUGGACUUGACUCAAAGACAAGAAACUAAAAAAAAGAAUGACAAUUUUUGUUUGGAUAACUGACUCAAUGACAAUUUUUAUUUGGAUAACUGACUCAAGAAAGAUAAAAUAAAAAUAAAAAGAAGAAAGAAAAGACAACGAAUGUCCCCUUUUGAAAUAAAGAAACAAAAAAUUCAUCUAAAAAUGACAGUCAACACUAAUGAUUAUGCCAUGCAUUUCGGAUUAAGCAGCUUGAUCUUUUCAUCCAAACUUUCUACCCAUUGUUGUUGAGCUAAUGGCCUUGAAACUGAGUUUCUUCCUUAGGUAAAUUGUAUUUAAGACCCCAUUCAGCUAGUGGCGCCUUGAAGGGUUUUUGCCAACAAGCUUCUCUCAUUUUCUUUUCCUCAGUUCACCAUUGCCUUAUGGUGUCUGUAAGGGUUUUCCACUAAUGAGACUCUCUUAUCUUCAUUUCCCUUAACUCACAGUUGUCUUACGGUGCCCGUGGGAGUUUUCACCGAUAAAACUCUCUCAUUUUUAUCUCUCUCAACUUAUCAUUAUCUUACGAUACCCGUGAGAGUUUUUACCAAUAAGACUCUCUCAUUUUUAUUUCUCUCCUGAUUUCUUAUGCUGAGGAAGACAAGUAGUUCCCAAAUACAUCACCAUAUCCCUUGCAUGCUUAGCCUUAACAUCUUCAAAGAUUGAUUUGAGGUCUUUCUUUGGUUGUAACUUGGCUUUUGGAUAGGGUUAGAAAGAAAGGAUGGCAUGGGGCCCAAAUAACACUUAAAGUAGGGUAGGACUUACAACUUUUGGAAUCAACUCAAACAAUGAGGAUUAACUAAUGCCCCAGUUUUUUUUUACUGCACAAUUCUAAAUUAUUUAUUUGGUUGGACCAAGCCCGGAGUAGGGCAGCCUAUGUAUCUCACCCCCGAAAGAGGAGAAUCAGGUCACACGUAGUUUCGGUGGCUUGUUCUUUUGCUUGAUUCUGAUUUUUUUUCUUUUAUUGCCUCUUUUAUUGACUUUUUUUUUCUUUUUGGGACCUUCUAACUCUAUUUUUUUAUGGACGCUCUUUUCUUUUCCUUCUUUUGGACACAUUUUUUCUCUCGUUUCUUUUUGAAACUUUCUGACUCUAUUGUUUUGCUCGAUAGUUUUUUUUUUUUUUGAGGUUUGUUGAAUCUAUCUUGAUUCUAAAAGAGGGGCAUGAAGGAAAAUAGGACUAAAUCUCAAAUGGGGUAAACAAAGGAUGACACAAUGUUUGGAUAGCAGAAUGAAAUGCCUUCGUCAUAUCAAUCCUUGAAAAUGCAAGUACAUAUUAUGCAAUAUAAAAGUGAGAGAUGAAGAUCAUUUGUGAUAUUUUUACAACGCUAAUUUUAACUGAGACUGUGCGUCGCUACUUGUUCUGCAAACUCCAUCUUUGUUGUACAUUUCUCAUGCUUUCGUGGAGCUAAUUUUUCUAUUCCUUUUUAUGUGGGAUCACCAUCCACUAUUUGACCUAAUUGAGACAUGUCUUUCAAUGCUGACCAAGUUAUUCUCACGAUUCUCAAAAUAAUUGCCUUAAUUUUUAAAGAAGGCUUCAACUUGAUCACCAAAUGCCCCAACACUUAUCUAUUUUCUCAGACGCUUUCUUUUUCUAACUUUAACCCUCUGAUUCAAUGCUCAUGCUUAAAGUGGAUUUUAAGAUCUGAUAGAAAAUUUCACUAGCAUGUCAUAUCACUAGAGUCAACAUAAAAUGUACAAUGUAAAGAAAACAAACAAACAACACAUAUUUAAAACACAAAGGAAAAUAGGACACUUCAUUUAGUUGAAACAAAAGAUAGAAGAGUUUGAACAUAAACGACAAAAGGACAAAAUAAGAUAGAUCUCGAACUACAACCCUGAAAUAAUUCGGAUAACAAAAAAUAAAACAAAACAAACUAUCAGACCUCUUCGUAGUAGGGAGAGGGAUGACUUCUCAAUUGCUUAACCUGACAUCUUAGCCACUGGUUUGCAUGUCAGCAUGACUAGAUUUUCCCUCACUAUCAAUGUUCUGCACCAUUAUUGAUCCAUCUUGAAUCAUAUUUUCAAUUUCUCUUUUCAAAUCUCGACAAUCUUCAAUACUAUGAGCCUGAGCAUCAGAAUAAUACGCACAUCGUACAUUAGGAUCAAAAUUUCUGGAACGCCGAUUAAGAGUACACCUAAGGAGAAGAGUGAUCAUAUCCCAUUGUACCAAUCUCUGAAAUAAACUGGCAUACGACUCUCCAAUUGGUGUGAAGCUAUCUUUUGACUUUUUCCUUAUUUCAUCAUUUGGAUUGGAUCAAAAAUCAGGCUUAGAAGAGUUUUGGUAUAUUUGUGGAGUUAGAGGAAGACUCUGAGGAGUUGGUGUAUUCCACUGUGGGUAACAUGGGGGUUAAACAUGUGGUUGUGCGUUAUAAACUGGAUACGGGGGUGGAGAAACAAAGUAUAAUAAAUUUUGGGAGUGAUUAUGUGGAGCUUGGGCAUGAACUUGGGUUUGAGCCUGAGAGUAAUGACAACGGGGUCUUCUUGACCGUGCCCGCUGUCCAACUAUAAUAGAAGAUGCAUCUUCCUCAUUCAGUGUCUCCCCAACACUUCCUGAACCCUUUUGAAUUACUUGAGUUACCACUUUGAAUGUUGCAAAACUCACAAUGCAACCAGUCUUAAUUCCCUCUUCUAUCAUCUCCCCCAUUUUAAGGGCCUCAAUAAAUGACUUACCUAAUGCAGGUAACAAGUGUUAAUAAUAUGUUUCAUCCUGUGCUUGAAUAAACACCUCCACUAUUUUUCUUUCUUUCAUUGGUGGUUUUACUCUAGCAGUUUGUUCGCACCAUCUGAUUGCAUACUCUCUGAAACUCUCAGUAUUCUUCUUUUUUAUAAUAGUUAGGUAUUUUUCGUCAGGGAUCAACUCGACAUUGUAUUGAAAUUGUUGCACAAAUCCAUUAGCUAGGCCAUCCCAACUAAUCCACUUGUCAAUGUCUUGGUCAACAAACCAUUCCAAAGCUAGGCCUGAAAGACUCUCCCCAAAAUAAGCCAUGAGUGGUUCUUCCUUUCCUCCAGCGCCCCUUAAUUGGUUACAAUAGCGCUUUAAAUAUGCCACUAGGUCUCCAUGUCCAUCGUAUUUCUUAAACUUUGGUAUUUUAAAGCCAGGAAGAAGGUUAACACCUGGAAACAUGCAUAAGUCCUUAUAUGAGAUACUUUUGUAACCCCUAAGUCUUUGCAAGUUCUUCAUAGUCAGUUCCAAACUUCUUAAUUUUUUGGUCAUUUCCUCUUGUUCUUCUGUCAUAACAGGCUUCUCAGUGUUAGGAGGAAAUUCAGGCAGGCGAGUAUCACCGUAAAGACCAGUCAACUUGAAUGUAGGCUCAGAAGUGUAACGCUGAUCACCUGUAAUAUUUAAUGCAGGCUCUCUUGUAGAGUAGUGAGCCACAACUUAUGGAAGAACAUCAAAAGUAGGAGCUUCAGGUGGAGGUUGCGCCGCAAAAAUAUGAACAACAGGUGGAGCCGAGCAUAUGGUAGUCUUGGAUUGGGGAGUGAGGAAAUGAACAUUGGAAAAGGUUGGAUAUUAUCGCCCCAGAGUCGAUCCUGAUGCAUAUUGUGGCAUAUCAACAAAAAUGGGAAAUUGUGCAUAUGACACGGGAGGAAAGCUAGAAAGAUAUUCCAAAUUAUCAGUGGGAACUGGAGGAGGUGACAACGUAUUAGCCCAAGCUCGAUGCAUUUCUAUCAUUUGCUGCCUUAAUUUCCAAAUCUCUUCAUUAGCUCCUAAAUUCUCAUUUCCCGAACUCCCUGUCUGAUUAGUGACAACAAACUCGGUAUCCUUGUUGGCCAUAAAUUUCUUUAUGACUUGGUGCAAUAUGGAGGCCCAUCCAAAAUGCCAUAAACCAACCACCUUAAACUAACUGGAUAAGAGAUAGUAAAUGCGUUAGAGUUCAACAUUUUUUCAAAACCUUUUUUUUUUCUUGAUAAGAUCACCGAACCCAAGAAGCACGCCUACGUAUCUCGCCCCCAAAAGGGGAGAAUCAAGUGUGCGUAGUUCGUGAAGUCUUGCCAAAAUGGCCAAUUAAAAUCUUUUUCUUUUUCUUUUUUCUUGAAACUUUAAGAAGAAAAGAAAAUAACAAAUUAUCAAAAGAAUUGACGAAAAUCAUUUUUGCAUUUUUCAGAUUUAAAUUUCCUAUACAAAAUGAAACCUAUGACAACCAAAGAAAAAUCAUUUUUUGAAUUUUCGAUUCUAAAUUUCAUAUGAAAAUGAAACUUGAAACUAUUAGAGGAAAAUCUUUUUGUGGUUUUCUUUUCGAAGAUGUAUAUGACACACCUACUCUAAAUGAAGAGUGAAAAAAAAAUCUUUUUAGGAUUUUUUUUUCAUAUUCCUAUACAAAAUAAAACCUAUGAUUACCAAAGAAAAUCUUUUUGAAUUUUCAAUUUCGAAUUUCAUAUGAAAAUGAAAAUUGAAACUAUUAAAGAAAAAUCUUUUUGCAGUUUUCUUUUAAAGAAAUAUAUGACACCUACUCUAAUAAAGAGUGAAGAAAAUCUUUUUUUUUUUUGAAUUUUUCAAAUAGGGUCCCCGAACCAACAAUAGGCUGCCUACGUAUCUCACUCCCGAGAGAGGAGAAUCAGGGGUGCGUAGUUCGUCCAGAUAGGACAAUUAAGAAUUAAAUGACAGAUUGACCCUAACUUAAGAGACACGACCAAAGACAGACAAAUAAAAUCUUUUUAGGGUUUUAAUCAGACACUUCACAUAAAACUUACAUCAACAACUAUGAAAGAAUUUUUUUUUUUUGAUAUUUUCAUUAUAUGAAAUGUACAAAACUUCUACCAUGUUUUUUUUUUUGAAUUUUCCUUUUAUAAAAAGCUCCUAAAAAAUGAUUUUUGGAAUUUUUAAAUUGUGACUGCAUGCUAAAGGAGAUAAAGGAAAAAUCUUUUUGAGGUUUUGUUUUUCAGUAAAUGCGUGAAAAAGUAAGAAAAUCAUUUUGAAUUUUUGGAUUGUGAAAAAAUAAAAGCCAUAAAGAACUCUAAUAAUUACGAAACUAUUUUUUUUCACUCCUUUCUUUUUUUUUUCUAUUUUUUUCAACAUUUCUUGCCUACGCACUUUACUUCUAACACAUGCUUUCCCCAAAUCAGUCCAUCAAAUGACCACGUUACCCUCAAAGAUACAACAUUUAGCACGUAGAGAUGCUUUAGAGAUGAGUCUCCUACAAAAGGCCACGUUGGUUUCGCUAGGUCUCAAUAUGAUGCAGAUAAGCAUGACCUAAAGGUUGACCUACGCUGGGGUCCACUAACAAGGCUGUUCGGGGGAGCGUAUGGUUGAUAGUGGAUUGCUUUAGCUGUCCACCUACUCCAUACAACCCAACGGAUCCCCCUCCUUAAAUAAAGGUGACUCAACUAUAGGUCGUGUACACACGUGUACUACGGACUUGUUGCAGAAAAAAAAAGACUCGAGUUAUGCAUAUGAUGCCAGAUAUAAAGCGGGUAACACAUAAAGUAAAAACUGUAAACAAAAAGUACGUAGGCACUCAACAAUGAUAAACAAUAACACAAAACAACACAAACAAAAUGUCUACACCUAUAUUACCAAACUAAGCCGAUACAACUCCAAAAUAAGCUCAAAUUCUGAAAAAUUCCCAGCAGAGUCGCCAGAGCUGUCACACCCACUUUUUAACACCAAAAAGAAAGAUUGAUUUAAAGUUUGAAAGGGUUUUUAUUUAAAGUGACAAAAUGAAGAUUUGUUCCGAAAAGGACUUUUUAUAUUCAAAUCUCAGAGUCGCCACUUGGCAUAAUCUAGUGUGUCAAGUCACCUUUGGAAAAUUCUUUUCAAAACUAUUUUGACUCUUUAAAACUGGUUUACGAACAGAGAUUCCGGCUAAGGAAUUCUAUUGACCGAAGGGAAGGUGUUAGGCACCCCUCGAUCCCGUGGUUCGACCACGGUCACUUGGUAGAGCGUAUCGGUUAAUUUAACACUAUGAGUGUACAAACCACAUAAAACAAACAAUAAACAAAUCAAACAAAAUGCAUCCAAAAAAAAUAAAUAAAGUCCAGUCCAAUUAUACAAUCCAAAAAUAGAAAAAUGCGUAAAAAUAAAUCCUAUUCUAAACUAAUCCUAGACUAAUGCUCUACCCGAUGCCUCGGGCCUUCAUCACGAAUGUCCUCCGGGUAUAAAAUACUUUGGGGCAUUUCCCAGCGAAUAAACAUAAAUAUUUCGGGGCAUUCCUCGGCCAAAUGAUACUUUGAUAUAAAAAAAACCAUAAAAACAAGCCAUUCAACACACAUUUUUCAACAUUCAACAUUUGAAGAGUUCUAAAUUUGCCUUACCGACCCUACUAUUUACCUAUCUAUUUGACGUCCUAAUCAUGAUACUACCACAUUCAAUAAGGUUAAUAAACAUUUCAAAUCAACUCAAUCAAUGAAACAAAAUUAAUCCGAGUUCACUUGAUCAAGAUCAAUCCCUCCCUAAUUUAUUAUCGAUUACGCAAUUACUCGAUUCUCAAUCAUACAAUUAUUCACCUCAAAUAAUCAAUCGAUAUCAAAAAACACUUAUGAUGAUUCAAAUAGGUCAUGGUCAAACAAAACAAGGCUCACACCUAUCACCAAUUUCAACACAUAAGGUAUCAAACGAUAAAGAUUAAUCAAGAACGGGAUAAGAAAUGGACCUUAAUUUUAUUUCGAACAAUUAGCGAUGGAUCAGAGCACAUGAACCAACGAACCUUGACAUCAAAACCCAAUUAGAAAAUCUCGACUCCAAAUUCUAUUUACCCAGACCCAUUUUCUCUCUGUAUUUUUAUGUGGGUCAUGAGAAGGGGAGCUGGACGAACUGCCAUGCAUUUGUUCGCCGGUGAUUUGAGCUGACUGGAGUGGUGGUUAACGGGAUUUUAUCGGCGAAUUUUGCCGAUGGUGAUGGAGUUUUGGGAUUCCGUGAGGCUUUGGUCGCCGGACUUGCUACCAGUGGAGUUCUCCAGUGACUGUUGUUGCAUCGCCGGAGCUUCGGCGAGCUUAACGGUGGUGACUAAUAUCCCCUUUCUCUAAUCUAUUCUCUUUCUCACAUCCUCUUUGCCUCUCCUCUCUUUGUUGUCAUCUUCUCCCUCUAUAAUCUAUUCUUUCUUUCGCGUCUCUGCAUAUUAAUGUCACUGGUGAGUGUUAUCUGAGAGAUCUGUGUGUGCUCUAUAUGUGAAUAUGGUGAUGGAAAGCCUAUGUGUUGGUAUAUCUUGUGAAGGGGAAUAUUGAUGAUGAUGAUGGAGAAUUGUUCCCUUUCUUUCUGUAUGUAUUUUCUAUGGUGAGAAUAUAAUAAUAAUAAUGAUGUGGGUCCCCCCAUGUGAAUGUUGUCUUGUAUAUCAAUGGAAAUGGUGAGGUCCUCAACAAAGUGGAAUAAAAUACGAGGAGUAUGGUAGUGAGGUGGUAUGGGGUAGUGAUGUGUUGUGAUAAAAUUUGUUAGG
RNAcentral lists this long non-coding RNA (14566 nucleotides) under Capsicum annuum. RNAcentral's name for it is "long non-coding RNA (CANN_LNC003944)". Lineage: Eukaryota; Viridiplantae; Streptophyta; Magnoliopsida; Solanales; Solanaceae. The record is from RNAcentral.